RNAcentral lists this ribosomal RNA (398 nucleotides) under uncultured bacterium. Its description in RNAcentral is "bacterial SSU rRNA". It matches the Rfam family "Bacterial small subunit ribosomal RNA", at positions 28 to 417 of the family's 1533-position model. The record is from RNAcentral.
GACGAACGCUGGCGGCGUGCUUAACACAUGCAAGUCGAGCGAGAGCCAGCUGAGGGGUAACCCUCGGCUGGGGACAGCGGCGAACGGGUGCGUAACACGUGGGCAACCUGCCCCUGACACUGGGAUAACCCCGGGAAACCGGAGCUAAUACCGGAUACUCUCGGCCGAUCACAUGGCUGGCCGAGGAAAGGUCCGCCGGUCAGGGAUGGGCCCGCGGCCUAUCAGCUUGUUGGUGAGGUAACGGCCCACCAAGGCGACGACGGGUAGCUGGUCUGAGAGGACGACCAGCCACACUGGAACUGAGAUACGGUCCAGACUCCUACGGGAGGCAGCAGUGGGGAAUAUUGCACAAUGGGCGAAAGCCUGAUGCAGCGACGCCGCGUGAGGGAUGACGGCCU